Molecule: long non-coding RNA, 411 nt
Filed under: Gossypium raimondii (Peruvian cotton)
Lineage: Eukaryota; Viridiplantae; Streptophyta; Magnoliopsida; Malvales; Malvaceae
Description: long non-coding RNA (GRAI_LNC009429)
Source: RNAcentral
CAAAUUCACAAACCUAAGGCAUCUAGGGAGCAAUUUUCCUCGAAACCUUCUCCUAACGAACAUCAAUUGAACAUUUAGACUGAGAAAUUGAGUAGUGUACUCAGGAAACCAACUUUGACCGAAAACAAACGACAACAAAUGUUAGUAGAAUUUAACAUUGAAACUUACUAAUUUGGCUUCCAAUGGAAGAAAAACAGAAACAAAACUCUUACGACUGCAGCAGCAAAAUCUGAUAAGCAAAAUUUGAGAAUUGAGUGACGAAAUUGAGAAGAAGAAAAAUAAAAGAAAAACAAAGAAAAGGAGACAAGACAAGAAAAAUAAAAGAAAAACAAAGAAAAGGAGACAAGACAAAGUUACUUUCACAUAAAAAAAUUAAAAAUAUUAUUCCAAAAGCCAGCUAACUAAUCCCGC